UGCUCUCUUCAUACUUAAAUAGCUAUAAGCAUGUGUCCUGUCCCUUUUUAUCAUAAUCUACAUGAUCUGCUCCUAGUUAAUUAAUUAUUUCAAUAUCCUCAUACAACAAACUACUUAAAUGAAGUAUGAUUCUAUUUUUUAUAUCCUGCAUUCUAACAGUAAUAUUGAAAGCUAAAGGCAAUUAUGCAACUAGUUGUAUAUUAGUGAGCUACUAAUGCUAUAACAUUAAUUUCACCUUAUUUUUUUGAACCUGGGAGAUAUGAGGGCCUG
This 270-nucleotide unclassified non-coding RNA is filed under the name Hevea brasiliensis (rubber tree). Lineage: Eukaryota; Viridiplantae; Streptophyta; Magnoliopsida; Malpighiales; Euphorbiaceae. The record is from RNAcentral.